GAUGAACGCUGGCGGCGUGCCUAAUACAUGCAAGUCGAGCGAACAGAUAAGGAGCUUGCUCCUUUGACGUUAGCGGCGGACGGGUGAGUAACACGUGGGUAACCUACCUAUAAGACUGGGAUAACUUCGGGAAACCGGAGCCAAUACCGGAUAAUAUUUCGAACCGCAUGGUUCGAUAGUGGAAGAUGGUUUUGCUAUCACUUAUAGAUGGACCCGCGCCGUAUUAGCUAGUUGGUAAGGUAACGGCUUACCAAGGCGACGAUACGUAGCCGACCUGAGAGGGUGAUCGGCCACACUGGAACUGAGACACGGUCCAGACUCCUACGGGAGGCAGCAGUAGGGAAUCUUCCGCAAUGGGCGAAAGCCUGACGGAGCAACGCCGCGUGAGUGAUGAAGGUCUUCGGAUCGUAAAACUCUGUUAUUAGGGAAGAACAUACGUGUAAGUAACUGUGCACGUCUUGACGGUACCUAAUCAGAAAGCAACGGCUAACUACGUG
RNAcentral lists this ribosomal RNA (497 nucleotides) under uncultured bacterium. RNAcentral's name for it is "partial 16S ribosomal RNA". It matches the Rfam family "Bacterial small subunit ribosomal RNA", at positions 28 to 507 of the family's 1533-position model. The record is from RNAcentral.